UGGGGAAUAUUGCACAAUGGGCGCAAGCCUGAUGCAGCAACGCCGCGUGAACGAUGAAGGUCUUCGGAUCGUAAAGUUCUGUUGCAGGGGAAGAUAAUGACGGUACCCUGUGAGGAAGCCCCGGCUAACUACGUGCCAGCAGCCGCGGUAAUACGUAGGGGGCUAGCGUUGUCCGGAAUCACUGGGCGUAAAGGGUUCGCAGGCGGAAAUGCAAGUCAGGUGUAAAAGGCAGUAGCUUAACUACUGUAAGCAUUUGAAACUGCAUAUCUUGAGAAGAGUAGAGGUAAGUGGAAUUUUUAGUGUAGCGGUGAAAUGCGUAGAUAUUAAAAAGAAUACCGGUGGCGAAGGCGACUUACUGUGCUCAUUCUGACGCUGAGGAACGAAAGCGUGGGUAGCAAACAGG
Molecule: ribosomal RNA, 403 nt
Filed under: Verrucomicrobiota bacterium
Lineage: Bacteria; Pseudomonadati; Verrucomicrobiota
Description: Verrucomicrobia bacterium partial 16S ribosomal RNA
Rfam family: Bacterial small subunit ribosomal RNA
Source: RNAcentral